Molecule: small nucleolar RNA, 129 nt
Organism: Gymnogyps californianus (California condor)
Lineage: Eukaryota; Metazoa; Chordata; Aves; Accipitriformes; Cathartidae
Product: small nucleolar RNA SNORA5
Exons: 1
Source: RefSeq, a predicted model, not a curated record
GGCAGCCCCAUCAAAUUCAGCGUCGUCCGCUGCGGUUGCUGCUGGCCCAGCCGGCAGCUACGGAAAUAUCUGCAGCUUCUGGGCCCCACGUCGUGGGAUCACGGGGUUGGUUUGGGUUGGAAGAGACCU